RNAcentral lists this ribosomal RNA (253 nucleotides) under uncultured bacterium. RNAcentral's name for it is "partial 16S ribosomal RNA". It matches the Rfam family "Bacterial small subunit ribosomal RNA", at positions 524 to 776 of the family's 1533-position model. The record is from RNAcentral.
GACAGAGGCCCCAAGCGUUAGGCGGAAUCACUGGGCUUAAAGCGUGUGUAGGCGGAUCGUUAAGUGUCUUGUGAAAUCCCACGGCUCACCCGUGGAACUGCUGGGCAUACUGGCGAUCUUGGGCCAACUAGGGGCAGCCGGAACAAGCGGUGGAGCGGUGAAAUGCGUAGAUAUCGCUUGGAACGCCGAAGGUGAAAACAGGCUGCUGGGGUUGUACCGACGCUGAGACACGAAAGCCAGGGGAGCAAACGGG